This 73-nucleotide transfer RNA is filed under the name Candidatus Woesearchaeota archaeon. Its description in RNAcentral is "tRNA-Asn". It matches the Rfam family "tRNA". Rfam says of the family: Transfer RNA (tRNA) molecules are approximately 80 nucleotides in length. Their secondary structure includes four short double-helical elements and three loops (D, anti-codon, and T loops). Further hydrogen bonds mediate the characteristic L-shaped molecular structure. tRNAs have two regions of fundamental functional importance: the anti-codon, which is responsible for specific mRNA codon recognition, and the 3' end, to which the tRNAs corresponding amino acid is attached (by aminoacyl-tRNA synthetases). tRNAs cope with the degeneracy of the genetic code in two manners: having more than one tRNA (with a specific anti-codon) for a particular amino acid; and 'wobble' base-pairing, i.e. permitting non-standard base-pairing at the 3rd anti-codon position. The record is from RNAcentral. Lineage: Archaea; Nanobdellati; Candidatus Woesearchaeota.
GCCCCUGUGGCUUAGUGGUUAUAGCAUGCGGCUGUUAACCGCAGGAUCGUCGGUUCAAAUCCGACCAGGGGCG